This 411-nucleotide long non-coding RNA is filed under the name Mustela putorius furo (domestic ferret). Its description in RNAcentral is "lncRNA (ENSMPUG00000026769.1)". The record is from RNAcentral. Lineage: Eukaryota; Metazoa; Chordata; Mammalia; Carnivora; Mustelidae.
GUGAAGUUGUAAGAACUCACAAACCAUAAAAGGUUUUUAAGUACAGGAGCAACAUUAGGAAAGUGCUAUUUAUGGAAGAAAAUGCAUUGAAGCUAUACUUAAAAUAGAUCAGAUCAAGUGAGCUUAAAGUCAAGGAGGCUGACAAGAGAGCUCUGCUGUAAUUCAGGUAUGAGGGGAUGGCUUGUGGGGAGGGGGAAGUCAUGUCCAGGAGAAUGGACAGAAGGAAAUAGAAGAAAGGAGAGAUACUGCACACAAUUUCAACAGGAAAUGGCAAGUGUUGGAGCCUUCUGGGCUGAUUGUCUUUGUUGCUGCUACAGACAUUUCAACUGAAUGUGUCUGCUCCAGUAAAUGGCCUUCGGUUACGAGUGAGACAAGUGUAUCCCAGAGAAUGAAAAUGGUUUGCUCGUCUAC